RNAcentral lists this ribosomal RNA (328 nucleotides) under uncultured eukaryote. RNAcentral describes it as "partial 18S ribosomal RNA". It matches the Rfam family "Eukaryotic small subunit ribosomal RNA", at positions 1470 to 1796 of the family's 1831-position model. The record is from RNAcentral.
CCCUUAGAUGUCCUGGGCCGCACGCGCGUUACACUGAUGCAUUCAACGAGCUUAUAACCUUGGCCGAGAGGCCUGGGCAAUCUUGUUAACGUGCAUCGUGAUAGGGAUAUAUUAUUGAAAUUAUUAAUCUUGAACGAGGAAUUCCUAGUAAACGCAGAUCAUCAAUCUGCAUUGAUUACGUCCCUGCCCUUUGUACACACCGCCCGUCGCACCUACCGAUUGGAUGGUCCGGUGAAGCCUCGGGAUUGUGGUUCUUGCCGCUUUAUUGUGGCGUGACCGCGAGAACUUGUCUAAACCUUAUCAUCUAGAGGAAGGUGAAGUCGUAACA